RNAcentral lists this ribosomal RNA (433 nucleotides) under uncultured bacterium. RNAcentral's name for it is "partial 16S ribosomal RNA". It matches the Rfam family "Bacterial small subunit ribosomal RNA", at positions 354 to 796 of the family's 1533-position model. The record is from RNAcentral.
GUGAGGAAUUUUCUGCAAUGAGCGAAAGCUUGACAGAGCAAUAUCGCGUGAAGGAUUGAAGGCCUAUUUAUUGGUUGUAAACUUCUUUUUUCAAGGAGGAAGAUCUGACGUUACUUGAAGAAUAAGCAUCGGCUAACUCUGUGCCAGCAGCCGCGGUAAUACAGGGGAUGCAAGUGUUAUCCGGAAUUAUUGGGCGUAAAGGGUCUGUAGGUUGAUAUUUAAGUCUUUUGUUAAAUCUUUAGGCUUAACCUAAAAUAAGCAAAAGAAACUAAUUAUCUAGAGUUUUAACAAUGUAAAGGGAAUUUUCAGUGGAGCGGUAAAAUGCGUUGAUAUUGAAAGGAACAUCAAAGGCGAAGGCACUUUAUCAAUGAAAAAACUGACACUGAGAGACGAAAGCUAGGGGAGCAAAUGGGAUUAGAUACCCGUGUAGUCC